GGAGGAAAAGAAACCAACAGGGAUGCCCCUAGUAAUGGCGAAUGAAGCGGGCAGAGCUCACGCCGGAAAUCCGGAGGCCAUCCGUCGCCUCCUGAAUUGUAGUCUGGAGAGGUGCCAUCGGCCCCACUCGGUGCCAAAAUCCCUUGGAAUGGGGUAUCAGAGAAGGUGAGAAUCCUGUCACGCGCCAGAGUGGGGUCGUACGAUGUGCUCUCGUAGAGUCGGGCUGCUUGGGAGUGCAGCCUGAAGCGGGUGGUAAAUUCCAUCUAAAGCUAAAUAUUGGCGGGAGACCGAUAGCGAACAAGUACCGUGAGGGAAAGAUGCAAAGAACUUUGAAAAGAGAGUUAAAGAGUGCUUGAAAUUGGCAGGAGGAAACCCGGUUGCGCGUGGCAUUUGACGCCGUCGACUCAGCCGUGCGGGGAGGCCUGUAGGGGACCGAAAGGCCCUGUGGUCAGUCCGUGCGGUGCACUUCGGCGGCGUCGGUCAGCCGCGUUUCUGCGCGGCGAAGACGGUUGCGGGUAGGGCUUCGGCGUCACCCGUGAUGAUGCGUCGCGCGGGAUCUCGGCUGAUGCGCACGGGCGCAACCGACCCGUCUAGAAACACGGACCAAGGAGUCUGA
RNAcentral lists this ribosomal RNA (616 nucleotides) under Phaeocystis cordata. Its description in RNAcentral is "partial Eukaryotic large subunit ribosomal RNA". It matches the Rfam family "Eukaryotic large subunit ribosomal RNA", at positions 52 to 678 of the family's 3401-position model. Lineage: Eukaryota; Haptophyta; Phaeocystales; Phaeocystaceae. The record is from RNAcentral.